UACGUAGGCAGCGAGCGUUGUUCGGAGUUACUGGGCGUAAAGGGUGUGUAGGCGGUUGUUUAAGUUUGGUGUGAAAUCUCCCGGCUCAACUGGGAGGGUGCGCCGAAUACUGAAUGACUAGAGUGCGGGAGAGGAAAGUGGAAUUCCUGUGUAGCGGUGAAAUGCGUAGAUAUCAGGAGGAACACCGGUGGUGUAGACGGCUUUCUGGACCGUAACUGACGCUGAGACACGAAAGCGUGGGUAGCAAACAGG
Molecule: ribosomal RNA, 252 nt
Filed under: uncultured bacterium
Lineage: Bacteria
Description: partial 16S ribosomal RNA
Rfam family: Bacterial small subunit ribosomal RNA
Source: RNAcentral